UACACAUGCAAGUCGAACGGCAGCACGUGAGCAAUCCUGGUGGCGAGUGGCGAACGGGUGAGUAAUAUAUCGGAACGUGCCCAGUCGUGGGGGAUAACGCAGCGAAAGCUGUGCUAAUACCGCAUACGAUCUACGGAUGAAAGCGGGGGAUCGCAAGACCUCGCGCGAUUGGAGCGGCCGAUAUCAGAUUAGGUUGUUGGUGGGGUAAAAGCCCACCAAGCCGACGAUCUGUAGCUGGUCUGAGAGGACGACCAGCCACACUGGAACUGAGACACGGUCCAGACUCCUACGGGAGGCAGCAGUGGGGAAUUUUGGACAAUGGGCGCAAGCCUGAUCCAGCAAUGCCGCGUGCAGGAUGAAGGCCUUCGGGUUGUAAACUGCUUUUGUACGGAACGAAACGGUCUGCUUUAAUACAGCGGGCUAAUGACGGUACCGUAAGAAUAAGCACCGGCUAACUACGUGCCAGCAGCCGCGGUAAUACGUAGGGUGCGAGCGUUAAUCGGAAUUACUGGGCGUAAAGCGUGCGCAGGCGGUUAUAUAAGACAGAUGUGAAAUCCCCGGGCUCAACCUGGGACCUGCAUUUGUGACUGUAUAGCUAGAGUGCGGCAGAGGGGGAUGGAAUUCCGCGUGUAGCAGUGAAAUGCGUAGAUAUGCGGAGGAACACCGAUGGCGAAGGC
RNAcentral lists this ribosomal RNA (677 nucleotides) under Pseudomonadota bacterium. RNAcentral describes it as "bacterial SSU rRNA". It matches the Rfam family "Bacterial small subunit ribosomal RNA", at positions 50 to 722 of the family's 1533-position model. The record is from RNAcentral. Lineage: Bacteria; Pseudomonadati; Pseudomonadota.